UGGUGGAGUGAUUUGUCUGGUUAAUUCCGUUAACGAACGAGACCCCCGCCUGCUAAAUAUUGCCGGCAAUCAUCUGUAUUGCUGCUGCGAUUCUUAGAGGGACGUUCGCCCCACAAGGCGAAGGAAGAUGGGGGCAAUAACA
This 142-nucleotide ribosomal RNA is filed under the name uncultured eukaryote. Its description in RNAcentral is "partial 18S ribosomal RNA". It matches the Rfam family "Eukaryotic small subunit ribosomal RNA", at positions 1299 to 1458 of the family's 1831-position model. The record is from RNAcentral.